UACGUAGGGGGCGAGCGUUGUCCGAAGUUACUGGGCGUAAAGCGCGCGUAGGCGGUCCCUUAAGUCUGGUGUGAAAGGUUCAGGGCUCAACCCGAACAGGGCACUGGCGACUGGGGGACUUGAGUGCGGGAGAGGAGAGUGGAAUUCCGGGUGUAGCGGUGAAAUGCGUAGAUAUCCGGAGGAACACCGAUGGCGAAGGCAGCUCUCUGGCCUGCAACUGACGCUGAGGUGCGAAAGCGUGGGGAGCGAACGGG
This 254-nucleotide ribosomal RNA is filed under the name uncultured bacterium. RNAcentral's name for it is "partial 16S ribosomal RNA". It matches the Rfam family "Bacterial small subunit ribosomal RNA", at positions 524 to 776 of the family's 1533-position model. The record is from RNAcentral.